CCUACGGGAGGCAGCAGUGAGGAAUAUUGGUCAAUGGGCGCGAGCCUGAACCAGCCAAGUAGCGUGAAGGAUGACUGCCCUACGGGUUGUAAACUUCUUUUAUAAAGGAAUAAAGUGCGGCACGUGUGCCUUUUUGUAUGUACUUUAUGAAAAAGCAUCGGCUAACUCCGUGCCAGCAGCCGCGGUAAUACGGAGGAUGCGAGCGUUAUCCGGUUUUAUUGGGUUUAAGGGGUGCGCAGGCGGAAUGUCAAGUCAGCGGUAAAAUUUCGGGGCUCAACCCCGUCGUGCCGUUGAAACUGGCGUUCUUGAGUGGACGAGCAGUAGGCGGAAUGCGUGGUGUAGCGGUGAAAUGCAUAGAUAUCACACAGAACUCCGAUUGCGAAGGCAGCAUACCGGAGCUCAACUGACGCUCAGGCACGAAAGCGUGGGUAUCGAACAGGAUUAGAUACCCGAGUAGUC
RNAcentral lists this ribosomal RNA (459 nucleotides) under uncultured bacterium. RNAcentral's name for it is "partial 16S ribosomal RNA". It matches the Rfam family "Bacterial small subunit ribosomal RNA", at positions 338 to 795 of the family's 1533-position model. The record is from RNAcentral.